CAACCCUGUUCCUGGAGAGCUACCCUCCUGUAGGUUUUAACUCCAACCCUGUUCCUGGAGAGCUACCCUCCUGUAGGUUUUAACUCCAACCCUGUUCCUGGAGAGCUACCCUCCUGUAGGUUUUAACUCCAACCCUGUUCCUGGAGAGCUACCCUCCUGUAGGUUUUAACUCCAACCCUGUUCCUGGAGAGCUACCCUCCUGUAGGUUUUAACUCCAACC
Molecule: long non-coding RNA, 220 nt
Organism: Oncorhynchus keta (chum salmon)
Lineage: Eukaryota; Metazoa; Chordata; Actinopteri; Salmoniformes; Salmonidae
Exons: 3
Source: RefSeq, a predicted model, not a curated record